Molecule: long non-coding RNA, 120 nt
Organism: Nanorana parkeri
Lineage: Eukaryota; Metazoa; Chordata; Amphibia; Anura; Dicroglossidae
Exons: 3
Source: RefSeq, a predicted model, not a curated record
CCGAUAACUAAUUUCAUCCGAAUCCCAAAACGAAUUAACUUUCGGACCCGAAUCCCGAAAAACGUAAUAACGGAAAAUCCGAAUUAAAACGAAACUAACUUUAUACCAGUACACAUGUCU